ACGAACGCUGGCGGCGUGCUUAACACAUGCAAGUCGAACGGAAUGGCCCUGCUUUUGUGGGGUGCUCGAGUGGCGAACGGGUGAGUAACACGUGAGUAACCUGCCCUUGACUUUGGGAUAACUUCAGGAAACUGGGGCUAAUACCGGAUAGGAGCUCCUGCUGCAUGGUGGGGGUUGGAAAGUUUCGGCGGUUGGGGAUGGACUCGCGGCUUAUCAGCUUGUUGGUGGGGUAGUGGCUUACCAAGGCUUUGACGGGUAGCCGGCCUGAGAGGGUGACCGGCCACAUUGGGACUGAGAUACGGCCCAGACUCCUACGGGAGGCAGCAGUGGGGAAUAUUGCACAAUGGGCGGAAGCCUGAUGCAGCAACGCCGCGUGCGGGAUGACGGCCUUCGGGUUGUAAACCGCUUUCGCCUGUGACGAAGCGUGAGUGACGGUAAUGGGUAAAGAAGCACCGGCUAACUACGUG
This 467-nucleotide ribosomal RNA is filed under the name uncultured bacterium. Its description in RNAcentral is "partial 16S ribosomal RNA". It matches the Rfam family "Bacterial small subunit ribosomal RNA", at positions 29 to 507 of the family's 1533-position model. The record is from RNAcentral.